AUACUUACCUGGCAGGGGAGAUACCAUGAUCACGAAGGUGGUUUUCCCAGGGCGAGGCUUAUCCAUUGCAGUCCGGAUGUGCUGACCCCUGCGAUUUCCCCAAAUGUGGGAGGAAACUCGACUGCAUAAUUUGUGGUAGUGGGGGACUGCGUUCGCGCUUUCCCCUG
RNAcentral lists this small nuclear RNA (167 nucleotides) under Bos indicus x Bos taurus (hybrid cattle). RNAcentral's name for it is "U1 spliceosomal RNA (ENSBIXG00005023087.1)". It matches the Rfam family "U1 spliceosomal RNA". From Rfam's summary of the family: U1 is a small nuclear RNA (snRNA) component of the spliceosome (involved in pre-mRNA splicing). Its 5' end forms complementary base pairs with the 5' splice junction, thus defining the 5' donor site of an intron. Lineage: Eukaryota; Metazoa; Chordata; Mammalia; Artiodactyla; Bovidae. The record is from RNAcentral.